This 492-nucleotide ribosomal RNA is filed under the name uncultured bacterium. RNAcentral's name for it is "partial 16S ribosomal RNA". It matches the Rfam family "Bacterial small subunit ribosomal RNA", at positions 29 to 507 of the family's 1533-position model. The record is from RNAcentral.
AGUGAACGCUGGCGGUAUGCCUAACACAUGCAAGUCGAACGGCAGCACAGUAAGAGCUUGCUCUUACGGGUGGCGAGUAGCGGACGGGUGAGGAAUACAUCGGAAUCUACUUUUUCGUGGGGGAUAACGUAGGGAAACUUACGCUAAUACCGCAUACGACCUACGGGUGAAAGCGGGGGAUCUUCGGACCUUGCGCGAUUGAAUGAGCCGAUGUCGGAUUAGCUAGUUGGCGGGGUAAAGGCCCACCAAGGCGACGCUCCGUAGCUGGCCUGAGAGGAUGACCAGCAAAACUGGAACUGAAAAACGGUCCAGACUCCUACGGGAGGCAGCAGUGGGGAAUAUUGGACAAUGGGCGAAAGCCUGAUCCAGCCAUACCGGGUAGGUGAAGAAGGCCUUCGGGUUGUAAAGCCCUUUUGUUGGGACAGAAAAGCAGCAGGUGAAUACCCCGCUGUUCUGACGGUACCAAAAGAAUAAGCACCGGCUAACUUCGUG